Molecule: long non-coding RNA, 5347 nt
Organism: Equus caballus (horse)
Lineage: Eukaryota; Metazoa; Chordata; Mammalia; Perissodactyla; Equidae
Source: Ensembl
GGGGCGGGGGUCUCGGGCAGUCAGCUCCGCAAGGAUGUGAGAUUCAGAACAACUCGGGUUCCCACCCAGGUCCUGCCACCCCAGAACGGCGUGCACAGGCCACUGCUCUGAGCCUGUCUCUUCACCUGCAAAGUGGGGGUGGUGACAACUCCCUCCUUCUUGCUGAGAAGAUUUAAUGCCAUGAAGUCUGCACCGUGCUCACCUGCUACCACCGAGACAGGUACACAGCAGGCAGUGAAGGAUGGUGACUUGUUGUUUUCCAGACUCUUAUUUUUAGAAAACUUUCUCAUGCAUGCACUGCUUAACAUCAAAACAAUUUCUCAACCAAUGACUCACUGAAUUCCUUAACACCCCCAACCCACUCCACCCCACGAGGAAGCCGGCUGAGACCCUGAAGCCCACAGAGGGAGGAUGGCGUGCCCCCAGAGGCCCACCUGUUGGGGACAGAUCAAAGAUUGGAACCCCAGCUGAAGGGGCCUUUCGUUCAAAGUCUGCUUUAUAGAUUAGCUCUCCAAGUGACAGGGGAAUCUAGAAAAUAGGUCAUCUCUGGGCUUCGAGGUCCAGACUAGACACCAUGCCUGGGUACAGCACGUUGUGAUAAUCAUCAUUAUUUACAGUCAUAAUAAUAAUAGAAGCUCCUAUUGGGUGCCACUUCCUAUGGCAGUUCCCCCGUCUGUAAAAUGCAGAUGAUAGUGGUAAGUUCACAUUGUGGGAUUGUUGGUGAGGAGGGGUUAAUAUUUGUAAAGCCUGUAGAACAGGGCUCGGCAUACAGCAAACAUUACGUCAUUGAGAACAUUGAAAAUACAGAAGUGUCGUCUGCUAAAGGCUUAAGAUCGCCUCACGUUCUCCUCAGGACACGCCCACAGGAGGCUACCAUUACGUCCAUUUUGCAGGUGGGGAAACUGAGAGCUCAGGGAUGCAUGGGGAGGGCAGGCAUGUUACUCUCCCAAGGACGGGGAGGGCGAGCUCUGAGCGCAUGCAAGUGGGGAGUGCAACCCAGGGCCAUCUGCCUCCAGAUCUAUGGGGCUCCCAUCUGUCCCUCCUCCACUUCUGCAGGUCCCCAGGGGGGAGGCAGGAUGCAGCACGCUCUGGGGAAGGUAUUUCCAGAGGGUGACCUGAGCCCUGGGCCAGGCAGAGGGUUAUUAAUAGUGCCCUGGCUGGGGAGGAUGGCUCCGGGGAAGGGAGUGGGAGGGCGGAGCUGAGCCAGCGUGGGGAGGAGAGACUGCCCAGAGAGGCUGGCUGAACUUGGCUGCCAGGGCCCCUCCCAGCCCCCUGGAGCACAGCUGUUCCCUCAGCGGAUUCUCUGGGGCUGGUUCAUCACCUCGGAAUACUCCUGUGACAGGAGCCACUUGCAAAACCCGCCUCCAGCCCCCAGCAGCAAUAAAUAGAAAGCUCCCAGCCCAGGAGAAGCGAGAAGUUUCUAGGCCUGCCUCCCUGGGUUUAUUAAGCUCCUGGCUCCUCUUUAGACCUCAGCGGCUCUGGCUGCCAGCCUGUGUGGCCUGCGAGGACAGAGACUGGCUGAUCCCUGGUGAGGCAGUACGGAUAAGGGCCCUCUGGGAUUCUGCUGGAUCAGCGGGGGGUCGCCUUUGGUGGCUGGAGUGUCUCUGGGGCCCAGGACCCCAGCCUGGUGUGUGCCUCCGUCCCUGGCAGUGGAUGGUUCAGCAUUUUCUGAAGCUGAAGAAUAAGUUUGGAAGACCAGCCCACCCACAUCAGCUUGCUGUGUGACCUUGGGCAGGUGGCUGUGGUUCUCUGAGCCUCCACUUCCCCUCCAGCUCAGCGGCCACCAUGGCUGAUGGUCAGAUGCCCUUCCCCUACACGGGCCGCCUGCGCCGGGACCCCUUCCGAGACUCGCCCCUCUCCUCCCGCCUGCUGGAUGAUGGCUUUGGCAUGGACCCCUUCCACGACAAUUUGACUGCCUCUUGGCAUGACUGGGGCCUGCCUCCAUUCUCCUCGGCCUGGCCGGGGACCCUGAGGUCGGGCAUGGUGCCCCGGGGGCCCACCGCCACGGCCAGGUUUGGGGUACCUGCUGAGGGCAGGACCCCCCCACCGUUCCCUGGGGAGCCCUGGAAAGUGUGUGUCAACGUGCACAGCUUCAAGCCGGAGGAGCUGAUGGUGAAGACCAAGGACGGAUACGUGGAGGUGUCUGAGAAGAAUAGACUGAAGCUCCAAGAACAGAGAUGCUGGGAAAUGUCAGAGCACAGACUCAAACCCAUCUACCUCCUUUUGAAUCUGCACUCCAUCACUUCCGAGCUGUGUGACCUUCAGCACAUCACCUCACCUCUCUGAACUUUCAUUCCCCAUCCACAAAACGGUGAUGGUAAAAGUACCUGCCUUCUAAGGCUGUUGGGAAAAUUAAAGGCGCUGAGAACAGUGGCUGACACCAAGCAAACACGAGGAGAAGCAGCAAGAAGGCGGCAUUGUUUCCAAGAACUUCACAAAGAAAAUCCAGCUUCCUGCAGAGGUGGAUCCUGUGACAGUAUUUGCCUCGCUUUCCCCAGAGGGCCUGCUGAUCAUCGAAGCUCCCCAGGUCCCCCCUUACUCACCAUUUGGAGAAAGCAGUUUCAACAACGAGCUUCCCCAAGACAGCCAGGAAGUCACCUGUACCUGAGACCCCAGUCAUGGCCCAUCCUUGUUCCCUCCCCAACCCCAGGGCUUCUCUGAUUCCAGGGUACAUUACUGUAGCUGAACUCAUAGAUUUAGCGCAACUAAGAUGUUGGGGGUGGGAGUGGAUGGACCACAGAGUCCCUGGAUAGUGUAGUAGUAGGUUUUUCCACAAGAGGGCGCAAUUGGCGAGUCAUGCUCAGUUGCGCAAAAUGCUGGGAGUUUUUUUUUUUUUUCUUUACCUUUUCUGUCUUGAUGAAAAUGUUGCACAUUCUAAAGUUGCCAAACCAAUAUAAUGGGACAUAACAUUUCACAUUGCAUCUUACCUUGCAGCUGAUGCAAGGGUUGCUUUUCUCUGGGGACCUCCCCAUCACCCAGAUUCCUAUUCUGGGCUCUCAAUUUCCCUGCCUGCCCUGUGGUUUGGGUGAAGGAGCCCAUUAGCUCACUCCAUUGUGUUUCUGCAGCCCUGGCCUAAGAAGGGUUAUAGAGAGGUCUUACAUCCCCAUAUGGGAUUUAUCCAACAGCCACAUGAAAAUAAACAGUGCCUUCUGCCCUCCACCCAGGCAUUUACAGCAUGUUCCCAAGCUGGCACUCCCCGGGGACUCUGGAAGCCCCUCAGUUUAUUCUCUGGCUAAAGCCCCCCCUUUCUUGUGUCUCCUAUGUCCAAGUUGGGACUUUUAGAGAGGGCUGUCUCCAGACAGCUCCAGCUGGAACCAAGCAAAGGCCAGACAGCCUGGCAGGCAGGCUAGUGGUAUUGUCUAUAUGGGUGGGACGUGUGUGUCAUUGUUAUUUGAAUUGUGCUGUUGUUUAGGGGAAAAUAACAGUAAAUGAUAAUAAUAAUAAAGGAGCUGAUGUUCUUAGCCUGGUGUGCUUCUUUUGAUGAGGGGCUAAAUGCUAUACCACUUAGAUAUGCAAUGUCAGUUAGGAAUGCUUGUGGCUACAAAUUAUAAUGCCCAAUGAGUAGUGGCUUAAAUGACACAAACAUCUAACUUUAUAAGAAGUUCAGGUAUGAGUGAUUUCAGAGUUACUUUUUCAGAAGGUACGUCACCAAGAAUCCAGAGUAUUUCCAUCUUUUUCCUCUGCCAUCUCUAAAAAGUCCACUAGGUCUAUCCUCGCAUUUGUAAGAUGGCUGCAGCAGCCCCAGGCAUCUCAUCCUCGGGUGACAAGGUACAGGAAGAGAAGGCAAGGAUAAAAAAAAAAGCCUUCUCAUCUGGCCUCCUCUUUUAUCAGCACUCAAGAUCUUUUCCAGAAGCUCUCUCUCAGCAGAUUUCUUCUUUUAUUUCAUUGACCCAACUUGGGUCACACGCCUAGCCUGAAGCCAGUCCCUGGCAAAGUGAAAGUGAUGGCCAUAAUGGGCUUAGAUCCAGAUUGAUUUGUCCUCUGAGGCCAGGAACAUUGCUGUGUGAAAAAGCAAGGUUCUGUUAAGAAGGACAGGGGUGUAGCAGCUGUGAGCGCCAUCAACAGUGUAACGGCGGCUGCAGGCUGACGCUGCCAGGAGCGCAGAACCUGGAACACAGGGUGGCAGGGAGCAAGGCUGCUGGCAUAGUGCACCAGUUGGGACUGUUUCUGGGGUAAGGGUGAAGAAACUCAACUCAAACUGAUGGACGCGAGAAGGGGUAUUUAUUGGUAUACAUAGCUGAGAAGUCCAGGAUAAAACCCGCUUUCAGGGCUCCAGUGAUGUCAACAGAACUCAGUUUCUCUCUCUCUCUUGGUCCUGCAGAGUCGGCUUCACUCCCAGUCUCCCUGUUGCCUCCCGGCCCUCCCCGUCCCCAGCCCUCCAUGCCCCCGUGUCCUCCCUCUGUGGUCGUGAGACGGCUACAGUCACUAUUCCCUCUCACAUUCCACUCCCCAGGGAGAAAAGCCAUCUUUUCCUAUAGUUUCUGCCCUAUCCCUGAGAGUCAUUCUUAUUGGAUGGGCUUCCGUCACAUGACCAUCCUGAGCUAAGCAGGGACCACGAAAUCAGAGCUUUGAUUGGCCAGGCCUGGGUCACAUGCUCUAUCCCUGGAGCCAAUCCCAAUGAAUCCCCACAACACCCGGAAGUAGAUGUUCGUUUUAUAAGGAAGAAGCUGAAGCUAAGUGGUUUGGGUAGGUCACGUGGUGACAGCAGAACUCAAACCCGGAUGUUUGCUUUUGGAAGGGUUAAUGAGGAGCUGCUGGGCUGGUUUUCAAGAGCACCUCCAAACUCCAGAUGACCGGAGAAAUCACUAUUUCCUGAGCACCUACUCGGUCCAUCCUGUGCUAGGUGCCAAGGAUACAGAGACCAAUGAACCACAAUUCCUGCCCCAAGGAGCUCACAGACCAGUGACAGAGACAGGCAGAUAAAAGAAUGCCUGGCUCCCUUUAAAUCCUCACUGUGUGACAGACACCAUGCUAAGUGCUUUAUUAUAGUAGAUUUACUGACACUACAAUCCUAUGAGAUAGGUCCAGCUGUUACCUCCGUUUUACAGAUAGGGAAACUGAGGCAUGGAAAGGUUACGUGCACUGCCCCCAAAUCACACAUCUGGUAAGCCCCAGGCCCAGGACCUUCACUAGUACUCUUACCCUGUUCUGCCCUUCUCCCAACAAAAUAAAAUGUAAGCGUGCCCUAAGUGAGUCGUCCAGCUUGUAGGAAGAGCAGAGAGGUGAUAUUUCAAGUUGGGGCUUUGCAGGGAGGGUGGGAGUCAGAGGUGGCUUACAGAGUCACUCCUGUCGGACUUGAAGAUGGGCAGGUUGUAGGAUUUGAGCAAGCAGGGGUGGGGAUGGGGAG